UGGUUCUGGCAUCGAUGAAGAACGCAGCGAAAUGCGAUAAGUAAUGCGAAUUGCAGAAUUCCAGUGAGUCAUCGAAUCUUUGAACGCACAUUGCGCCCAUUGGUAUUCCGAUGGGCAUGCCUGUUCGAGCGUCAUUAUCAACCCUCAAGCCCAGGCUUGGUGUUGGAGGAUGGCCUGGGUCGCCCCGGGCCCCUCCGAAAGACAAUGACGGCGGCGACGACGGCCCCGGUACACUGAGCUUUUCACCGAGCACGUACUGGCUGGACCCCGUGGCCGACGGUCGGCCUCCCCUUUGGGGAGAAUCUUUAUACUUAGGUUGACCUCGGAUCAGGUAGGGAUACCCGCUGA
Molecule: unclassified non-coding RNA, 348 nt
Filed under: uncultured fungus
Lineage: Eukaryota; Fungi
Description: partial contains 5.8S ribosomal RNA and internal transcribed spacer 2
Rfam family: 5.8S ribosomal RNA (bases 1-134)
Source: RNAcentral